Cyprinus carpio (common carp) is the source of this 780-nucleotide long non-coding RNA. RefSeq lists it as uncharacterized. The transcript has 6 exons. Lineage: Eukaryota; Metazoa; Chordata; Actinopteri; Cypriniformes; Cyprinidae. The record is from RefSeq and is a predicted model, not a curated record.
AAGCCAAUAAAAAUCCACGGAAACGUGACAUGUAGCCUAUCGAGAGACGGCAUUUUAAAACAAAACAGAGACUAUUAUGUAAUUCAGGUACGCACCGGGUUGCCUUAACAACAAAGGUUUUAGUUCAUUGCCUGCACCCAUCUGCACAGGAAAGGGAAUCCUCCCUUCAGUGGAAUGUACGAAACCACUGAACCUGAGGUUGGUGACUGCUCCAUUGUUGGACAAUUUGUAAAUACUCUAGCCGAUCAAAGACCUGAACAAACAUCCACCCUAGACAUUCAGACACGGGGUGUAGACCGCUACCACAAGACCUUAAGAUUCUUAAGAUGUGGCUGAUGGUGGUGAUGGGGUCGAGGCCUGGCAUGAUGGCCAGAGAAAAGUGCAGUCAGUGUGGGAGGAGUGGGUGACCGUUAACCUUUCCACGAAACUGAACUGUGACCCCUAUGAUUUGCCUGAAGGUGAUGGCCUGAGCAACCCCCGCCCCCGUUAAAACGUGCUGAGGCCCCUGCAGUGAGUGGAAGGAAAUCCCAUCAGACAAGCCCAGUCUUUUAAGGAAUAACAAAGCUACUCAUCCGAACCUGUGGCUGUGCAUGCGAGACAUCAGCAAUACCAUCUUAUUUUAUUUUGUUAUUAUAUGUUACAUUCAUAAAACUUGCGUUAAAAAGAUCAUUAGCCUAGUUAUACACUACCAUUCAAAAGUCUGGGGUCAGUAAGAUUUAUGUGUUUUAAAUGUUUUAAAAUUUCUUAUUCUCACCAAAGUUGUGUUUAUUUGAGCAAACA